This 497-nucleotide ribosomal RNA is filed under the name uncultured bacterium. RNAcentral describes it as "partial 16S ribosomal RNA". It matches the Rfam family "Bacterial small subunit ribosomal RNA", at positions 28 to 507 of the family's 1533-position model. The record is from RNAcentral.
GAUGAACGCUGGCGGCGUGCCUAAUACAUGCAAGUCGAGCGAACAGACGAGGAGCUUGCUCCUCUGACGUUAGCGGCGGACGGGUGAGUAACACGUGGAUAACCUACCUAUAAGACUGGGAUAACUUCGGGAAACCGGAGCUAAUACCGGAUAAUAUAUUGAACCGCAUGGUUCAAUAGUGAAAGACGGUUUUGCUGUCACUUAUAGAUGGAUCCGCGCCGCAUUAGCUAGUUGGUAAGGUAACGGCUUACCAAGGCAACGAUGCGUAGCCGACCUGAGAGGGUGAUCGGCCACACGGGAACUGAGACACGGUCCAGACUCCUAAGGGAGGCAGCAGUAGGGAAUCUUCCGCAAUGGGCGAAAGCGUGACGGAGCAACGCCGCGUGAGUGAUGAAGGUCUUCGGAUCGUAAAACUCUGUUAUUAGGGAAGAACAAAUGUGUAAGUAACUAUGCACGUCUUGACGGUACCUAAUCAGAAAGCCACGGCUAACUACGUG